UGCAGUCGAGCGAACUGAUUAGAAGCUUGCUUCUAUGACGUUAGCGGCGGACGGGUGAGUAACACGUGGGCAACCUGCCUGUAAGACUGGGAUAACUUCGGGAAACCGAAGCUAAUACCGGAUAGGAUCUUCUCCUUCAUGGGAGAUGAUUGAAAGAUGGUUUCGGCUAUCACUUACAGAUGGGCCCGCGGUGCAUUAGCUAGUUGGUGAGGUAACGGCUCACCAAGGCAACGAUGCAUAGCCGACCUGAGAGGGUGAUCGGCCACACUGGGACUGAGACACGGCCCAGACUCCUACGGGAGGCAGCAGUAGGGAAUCUUCCGCAAUGGACGAAAGUCUGACGGAGCAACGCCGCGUGAGUGAUGAAGGCUUUCGGGUCGUAAAACUCUGUUGUUAGGGAAGAACAAGUAUGAGAGUAACUGCUCGUACCUUGACGGUACCUAACCAGAAAGCCACGGCUAACUACGUGCCAGCAGCCGCGGUAAUACGUAGGUGGCAAGCGUUAUCCGGAAUUAUUGGGCGUAAAGCGCGCGCAGGCGGUUUCUUAAGUCUGAUGUGAAAGCCCACGGCUCAACCGUGGAGGGUCAUUGGAAACUGGGGAACUUGAGUGCAGAAGAGAAAAGCGGAAUUCCACGUGUAGCGGUGAAAUGCGUAGAGAUGUGGAGGAACACCAGUGGCGAAGGCGGCUUUUUGGUCUGUAACUGACGCUGAGGCGCGAAAGCGUGG
This 726-nucleotide ribosomal RNA is filed under the name Priestia aryabhattai. RNAcentral's name for it is "bacterial SSU rRNA". It matches the Rfam family "Bacterial small subunit ribosomal RNA", at positions 56 to 764 of the family's 1533-position model. Lineage: Bacteria; Bacillati; Bacillota; Bacilli; Caryophanales; Bacillaceae. The record is from RNAcentral.